Molecule: ribosomal RNA, 253 nt
Filed under: uncultured bacterium
Lineage: Bacteria
Description: partial 16S ribosomal RNA
Rfam family: Bacterial small subunit ribosomal RNA
Source: RNAcentral
UACAGAGGGGGCAAGCGUUGUUCGGAAUUACUGGGCGUAAAGGGCGCGUAGGUGGCCAACUAAGUCGGACGUGAAAUCCCUCAGCUUAACUGGGGAACUGCGUCCGAUACUGGAUGGCUUGAGUUUGGGAGAGGGAUGCGGAAUUCCAGGUGUAGCGGUGAAAUGCGUAGAUAUCUGGAGGAACACCGGUGGCGAAGGCGGCAUCCUGGACCAACACUGACGCUGAGGAGCGAAAGCGUGGGGAGCGAACAGG